CCCCCUUUUUCUGUUUUUUUCGUAGUCGAGAAAUCGAGUUUGCGUUAGCUCUCGCAGGCUCAGGGUGCAACGAUUAAGCCAAAAUGCCAUCGAUUCCCUCGGUUCCAUGAUUUAGAUAGUAUAGUAAUAAGCUCGUAUAUAUGUACGUAAUAGCCGACUCAUGCCAUGCUUGUGGUACAUUUUUCGUUUAUUAGCCUAUACACUUGUACGCACGCGCACAAUUCCGAACUGCAAUGGCGGCUUUUCACAGAGUGAUCAAAC
Molecule: long non-coding RNA, 261 nt
Filed under: Paramuricea clavata
Lineage: Eukaryota; Metazoa; Cnidaria; Anthozoa; Malacalcyonacea; Plexauridae
Source: RNAcentral